This 488-nucleotide long non-coding RNA is filed under the name Brassica rapa (field mustard). RNAcentral's name for it is "long non-coding RNA (BRAP_LNC007644)". The record is from RNAcentral. Lineage: Eukaryota; Viridiplantae; Streptophyta; Magnoliopsida; Brassicales; Brassicaceae.
CUGCAUCUUCGAGAGAACUAAGGUAUUUCCGACUUGAAAUUUUUGAAAUCAGACUUGGAAUUUUCGUAGGAAAUUACUUUGAGGCUGCCAUAGAACUUUAGGGAACGUAAAACCUAGGCGGAUAGUCUAGCGAACUAAGUUUUAAGCGAUUUUUCCUGUCUCGAUAUAUUGUCCCAUAAUUGUUCAUCCAAAUCUUGCAAACCGAUCUAAACUCUCCGAAAGUCGAGAAAUGAUCGCCACGCAUAUCAAGCUCGCUUCCUAAAGAGAGAAAAAGUUAGAGACAUGAACGUCGUCUUAAAACCGAUUCGUUUCUGGCAAUUUUCUCGGAACCGACAUAUCCCAAGUCGUCAACGUGGAAACAACCAAAUCACAGUCCAAGCGUCGUCUAUAAAUCGUCCCGAAUUAUCGAUCAUUCCAAACAUCAGGAGAGGAAACGUACACAACCCUUCAAAGUAUCGGUUCAACCGUUUUUCUUUCGUAAAAAAAAA